This 548-nucleotide ribosomal RNA is filed under the name uncultured bacterium. RNAcentral describes it as "bacterial SSU rRNA". It matches the Rfam family "Bacterial small subunit ribosomal RNA", at positions 370 to 909 of the family's 1533-position model. The record is from RNAcentral.
AAUGCGCGAAAGCGUGACGCAGCAACGCCGCGUGCGGGAAGACGGCCUUCGGGUUGUAAACCGCUUUCAGUUGGGACGAAGCUCUUCCGGUGAAUAGCCGGAUGGAGUGACGGUACCUUCACAAGAAGCCCCGGCUAACUACGUGCCAGCAGCCGCGGUAAUACGUAGGGGGCAAGCGUUGUCCGGAAUCAUUGGGCGUAAAGAGCGUGUAGGCGGCCCGGUAAGUCCGCUGUGAAAGUCCAGGGCUCAACCCUGGGAUGCCGGUGGAUACUGUCGGGCUCGAGUCCGGAAGAGGAGUGUGGAAUUCCUGGUGUAGCGGUGAAAUGCGCAGAUAUCAGGAGGAACACCAAUGGCGAAGGCAGCACUCUGGGACGUGACUGACGCUGAGACGCGAAAGCGUGGGGAGCAAACAGGAUUAGAUACCCUGGUAGUCCACGCUGUAAACGAUGGGCACUAGGUGUGGGGGGUGUCGACUCCCUCCGUGCCGAAGCUAACGCAUUAAGUGCCCCGCCUGGGGAGUACGGCCGCAAGGCUAAAACUCAAAGGAA